RNAcentral lists this ribosomal RNA (253 nucleotides) under uncultured bacterium. Its description in RNAcentral is "partial 16S ribosomal RNA". It matches the Rfam family "Bacterial small subunit ribosomal RNA", at positions 524 to 776 of the family's 1533-position model. The record is from RNAcentral.
UACGAAGGGGGCUAGCGUUGCUCGGAAUCACUGGGCGUAAAGCGCACGUAGGCGGAUUGCUAAGUCAGGGGUGAAAUCCUGGAGCUCAACUCCAGAACUGCCCUUGAUACUGGCGGUCUCGAGACCGGGAGAGGUGAGUGGAACUGCGAGUGUAGAGGUGAAAUUCGUAGAUAUUCGCAAGAACACCAGUGGCGAAGGCGGCUCACUGGCCCGGUACUGACGCUGAGGUGCGAAAGCGUGGGGAGCAAACAGG